RNAcentral lists this ribosomal RNA (1194 nucleotides) under wastewater metagenome. RNAcentral's name for it is "bacterial LSU rRNA". It matches the Rfam family "Bacterial large subunit ribosomal RNA", at positions 807 to 1989 of the family's 2925-position model. The record is from RNAcentral.
AGCUGUGGAUAGGGGUGAAAGGCUAAACAAACUUGGAAAUAGCUGGUUCUCUCCGAAAACUAUUUAGGUAGUGCCUCGUAUAUCAUUCUCGGGGGUAGAGCACUGUUAUGACUAGGGGGAUCAUAAGAUCUUACCAACUCAUUGCAAACUCCGAAUACUGAGAAAUGCAAUUACGGGAGACAGACCAUGGGUGCUAACGUCCGUGGUCAAGAGGGAAACAACCCAGACCGACAGCUAAGGUCCCAAAUGACGUGCUAAGUGGAAAACGAAGUGGGAAGGCAUAGACAGCCAGGAUGUUGGCUUAGAAGCAGCCAUCAUUUAAAGAAAGCGUAAUAGCUCACUGGUCGAGUCGUCCUGCGCGGAAGAUGUAACGGGGCUAAGCACGUAACCGAAGCUUCGGAUGCUGCACUAUUUAUAGUGUAUGCAUGGUAGGAGAGCGUUCUGUAGGCCUGCGAAGGCAAUCUGUGAGGGUUGCUGGAGGUAUCAGAAGUGCGAAUGCUGACAUGAGUAGCGAUAAAGGGAGUGAAAAGCUCCCUCGCCGAAAGCCCAAGGUUUCCUGCGCAACGUUCAUCGGCGCAGGGUGAGUCGGCCCCUAAGGUGAGGCAGAGAUGCGUAGCUGAUGGGAAACAGGUUAAUAUUCCUGUACUUUAAUAUAAUGCGAUGUGGGGACGGAGAAGGUUAGGUCAGCCAUCUGUUGGAAUAGGUGGUUCAAGCGUGUAGGAAGAUCUCUUAGGCAAAUCCGGGAGGUCAAUUCUGAGGCGUGAUAACGAGGCACUUCGGUGCUGAAGUGAUUGAUACCAAGCUUCCAAGAAAAGCCACUAAGCUUCAGUUAUAUUAGAACCGUACCGCAAACCGACACAGGUGGGCAGGAUGAGAAUUCUAAGGCGCUUGAGAGAACUCAGGAGAAGGAACUCGGCAAAUUGAUACCGUAACUUCGGGAGAAGGUAUGCCUCUGCGUGUGUAGUGACUUGCUCACGAAGCGUGCAGAGGUCGCAGAGAAUAGGUGGCUGCGACUGUUUAUCAAAAACACAGCUCUGUGCCAACACGAAAGUGGACGUAUACGGAGUGACGCCUGCCCGGUGCUGGAAGAUUAAAUGAUGGGGUGCAAGCUCUUGACUGAAGUCCCAGUAAACGGCGGCCGUAACUAUAACGGUCCUAAGGUAGCGAAAUUCCUUGUCGGGUAAGUUCCGACCU